This 469-nucleotide ribosomal RNA is filed under the name uncultured bacterium. RNAcentral describes it as "bacterial SSU rRNA". It matches the Rfam family "Bacterial small subunit ribosomal RNA", at positions 29 to 492 of the family's 1533-position model. The record is from RNAcentral.
AACGAACGCUGGCGGCGCGCCUAAUACAUGCAAGUCGAGCGAGAAGACGUAGCAAUACGUUUGUAAAGCGGCGAACGGGUGAGGAAUACAUGGGUAACCUACCCUCGAGUGGGGAAUAACUAGCCGAAAGGUUAGCUAAUACCGCGUACGCUCCUUGGACUUCGGUUCAGGGAGGAAAGCGAUACCGUGGGUAUCGCGCUCUUGGAUGGGCUCAUGUCCUAUCAGCUUGUUGGGAGGUAACGGCUCACCAAGGCUUCGACGGGUAGCUGGUCUGAGAGGACAAUCAGCCACACUGGCACUGCGACACGGGCCAGACUCCUACGGGAGGCAGCAGUAAGGAAUAUUGCGCAAUGGGCGAAAGCCUGACGCAGCGACGCCGCGUGGGGGAUGAAGGUCUUCGGAUUGUAAACCCCUUUCGGGAGGGAAGAUGGAACGAGCAAUCGUUCGGACGGUACCUCCAGAAGCAGCC